CGUAGGUGGCUAAGCGUUGUCCGGAUUUAUUGGGUUUAAAGGGUGCGUAGGCGGUCUUUUAAGUCAGUGGUGAAAUACUUCAGCUUAACCGGAGAGGUGCCAUUGAUACUGGGAGACUUGAGUACUGAUGAGGUAGGCGGAAUGGACGGUGUAGCGGUGAAAUGCUUAGAUAUCGUCCAGAACACCGAUAGCGAAGGCAGCUUACUAAGGAGUAACUGACGCUGAGGCACGAAAGUGUGGGGAUCAAACAGGAUUAGAUACCCUGGUAGUCCACACUGUAAACGAUGAUCACUCGAUGUUGGCGAUACACAGCCAGCGUCUUAGCAAAAGCGAUAAGUGAUCCACCUGGGGAGUACGCCGGCAACGGUG
Molecule: ribosomal RNA, 369 nt
Filed under: uncultured organism
Description: bacterial SSU rRNA
Rfam family: Bacterial small subunit ribosomal RNA
Source: RNAcentral